CAGAAAUAUACAGCAUGAGCUUUUAAUCACAAAUUCUGAUGGUUCCCCAGAUACCUGAAGCCCCGCCAAAGACUCCAGAAUUGGACCUUUGGACCACUUCAUAUGCAAGUGAAAGCUUCGAGAGAAGAGGAAAAGGAGUAAUUUCUGAUUCUGGGAGAGCUUCUGGAGCUGCAGCCCACACUGCAAGCUGGGGUCCUGAUGUUGUUCCCUGCUUCUCACAGCUGUACAUCUGGAUCCCAGAGGAAGAAAGAUCUUUGAGUCACCCUGAGCUAACAUCUGUUGCCAAUCUUCUUCCACGUGAGCCGCCGCCACAGCAUGGCCACUGAUAGACGAGUGGUGUAGGUCUGCACCCAGGAAUGGAAGCCGGGCCACCAAAGUGGAGUGCGCUGACCUUAACUACUAGGCCACCAGGGCUGACCCCCCAGGUGAUUCUGAUGCAGGCAGAACCCACAUGAUGGUUUGAGUCCGUUGCUGUAGGAAACCCAUAACUUGUGGCAGUUGGGGC
This 505-nucleotide long non-coding RNA is filed under the name Equus caballus (horse). Its description in RNAcentral is "lncRNA (ENSECAG00000045098.1)". Lineage: Eukaryota; Metazoa; Chordata; Mammalia; Perissodactyla; Equidae. The record is from RNAcentral.